UAUAUAUAUUUUCACCUGCCUUUCUUCUCCCAUCCAUCAUCAUAUCUCUCUCUAAUUUCUCUCCGUAUAACACAAACU
Molecule: small RNA, 78 nt
Filed under: Arabidopsis thaliana (thale cress)
Lineage: Eukaryota; Viridiplantae; Streptophyta; Magnoliopsida; Brassicales; Brassicaceae
Description: ATSL240810
Source: RNAcentral